CAGGCCUACACAUGCAAGUCGAACGAGAAGCAGGACUUCGGUUCUGUGGAGAGUGGGCACGGGUGGGUAACGCGUGGGAACCUACCUUUCGGUACGGAAUAACUCGGGAAACCGGGGCUAAUACCGUAUACGCCCCCCAUGAGAGAUUGUGGGGGGAAAGAUUUAUCGCCGAAGGAUGGGCCCGCGUAGGAUUAGCUAGUUGGGGGGUAAAGGCCUACCAAGGCUCCGAUCCUUAGCUGGUCUGAGAGGAUGUCAGCCACACUGGGACUGAGACACGGCCCAGACUCCUACGGGAGGCAGCGUGGGGAAUAUUGGACAAUGGGGGCAACCCUGAUCCAGCCAUGCCGCGUAGUGAAGAAGGCCCUAGGGUUGUAAAGCUCUUUCAGCGGGGAAGAUAAUACGGUACCCGCAGAAGAAGCCCCGGCUAACUCCGUGCCAGCAGCCGCGG
Molecule: ribosomal RNA, 448 nt
Filed under: uncultured bacterium
Lineage: Bacteria
Description: bacterial SSU rRNA
Rfam family: Bacterial small subunit ribosomal RNA
Source: RNAcentral